GGGAAGUGGCGAAAGGGGCAGUAAGGCGUGGGUAACCUACCUCGGGGUCCGGGAUAGCCGCCCUAACGGGCGGGUAAUACCGGGCGACGUGGCUUGGGGACAUCCCCGGGCCACCAAAGGUCCGCCGCCCCGGGCGGGGCCCACGUGGUAUUAGCUAGACGGCGGGGUAACGGCCCACCGUGGCCAAGAUGCCUAGCAGGUGUGAGAGCACGACCUGCGCCACUGGCACUGCGACACUGGCCAGACACCUACGGGUGGCUGCAGUCGAGGAUCUUCGGCAAUGGGCGCAAGCCUGACCGAGCGACGCCGCGUGCGCGAUGAAGGCCUUCGGGUUGUAAAGCGCUGUCGAGGGGGAGGAAAGCCCGCAAGGGCCUGACCUAUCCCUGGAGGAAGCACGGGCUAAGUUCGUGCCAGCAGCCGCGGUAAGACGAACCGUGCGAACGUUG
This 446-nucleotide ribosomal RNA is filed under the name uncultured bacterium. RNAcentral describes it as "bacterial SSU rRNA". It matches the Rfam family "Bacterial small subunit ribosomal RNA", at positions 90 to 543 of the family's 1533-position model. The record is from RNAcentral.